GGUCAACGGUUGGCUAGCUUUUCUUCGCUUGGAUUAUUUUCGUUGGUGCAGCUAAAAUGGGCAAAGUACUGGCGAUAUUGUGUCUAAAAUCUGGCCAAAAAAGUCUUCCCAGAAAUGAUCAGGCAUUUGUCUAAAAACUGGCCUGACAACAUAACCAUUGCCAUAAGCCAAGAAAAUCUACAACAAAUGUAUCUCUGCAGUACACUGGACAUUUGGCAUAAUGAGGAAUGAGAUCUGUCUACAGUAGGAGCAGAAGGGACGUUUGGACCUACUGCCAGCAUGCUGUAACAGACAGAUGGGUUUUCACACAAACAACAGAAAACAUCAAGAGCAGUCAGGCUGGCACACACAGAAGAAGAAUCAGCAAAGGGGAGAAAGUCUGGAUAAUGAGGCACUGCUAGCAGGAGAUGAUAAUUCACUUUGUGCUGUAAGACAAACUGUCCACUCCGUUUAUAGAGUUCAACUCCGUCGUUGCAAAAGUCAUAUGGAUAUUUGGUACGCAAACUGAUCUGACUGCAGUGAAACAUAAUAACCAGCAGAUGGCAGGCAAACAUCAGAAUCCUUUUGAUAUGAAGGCAUCAGAACCGCAUAUCAAUUAAGUUUUGCAAGCAAAAGACGAUACCAAGUAAGUACUGACAUCCAAAUAUGC
Molecule: long non-coding RNA, 649 nt
Filed under: Sinocyclocheilus anshuiensis
Lineage: Eukaryota; Metazoa; Chordata; Actinopteri; Cypriniformes; Cyprinidae
Description: lncRNA (ENSSANG00000009739.1)
Source: RNAcentral